Heterocephalus glaber (naked mole-rat) is the source of this 81-nucleotide small nuclear RNA. Its record names the gene U2. It matches the Rfam family "U2 spliceosomal RNA". Rfam says of the family: U2 is a small nuclear RNA (snRNA) component of the spliceosome (involved in pre-mRNA splicing). Complementary binding between U2 snRNA (in an area lying towards the 5' end but 3' to hairpin I) and the branchpoint sequence (BPS) of the intron results the bulging out of an unpaired adenosine, on the BPS, which initiates a nucleophilic attack at the intronic 5' splice site, thus starting the first of two transesterification reactions that mediate splicing. The record is from Ensembl. Lineage: Eukaryota; Metazoa; Chordata; Mammalia; Rodentia; Bathyergidae.
AUUGCUUCUCAGCCUUUUGGCUAAGAUCAAGUGCAGUAUCUAUUAAAAUUUAAUUAACUUACUCAAAAAAAUUGAAAAUUU